Molecule: ribosomal RNA, 293 nt
Filed under: uncultured bacterium
Lineage: Bacteria
Description: partial 16S ribosomal RNA
Rfam family: Bacterial small subunit ribosomal RNA
Source: RNAcentral
GUGCCAGCAGCCGCGGUAAGACGAACCGUCCAAACGUUAUUCGGAAUCACUGGGCUUAAAGGGCGCGUAGGCGGCCGAGCGGGUCGCGGGUGAAAUCCUCCAGCUUAACUGGAGAACUGCCCUCGAUACCACUGCGGCUCGAGGAAGGAAGGGGCAAUCGGAACUGUCGGUGGAGCGGUGAAAUGCGUUGAUAUCGACAGGAACGCCGGUGGCGAAAGCGGAUUGCUGGUCCUUUUCUGACGCUGAGGCGCGAAAGCCAGGGGAGCAAACGGGAUUAGAAACCCCUGUAGUCC